RNAcentral lists this ribosomal RNA (492 nucleotides) under uncultured bacterium. Its description in RNAcentral is "partial 16S ribosomal RNA". It matches the Rfam family "Bacterial small subunit ribosomal RNA", at positions 29 to 507 of the family's 1533-position model. The record is from RNAcentral.
AUUGAACGCUGGCGGCAUGCUUUACACAUGCAAGUCGAACGGUAACAGGCCUUCGGGUGCUGCCGAGUGGCGAACGGGGGAGUAAUGCAUCGGAACGUACCCAGAGGUGGGGGAUAAUGCAGCGAAAGCUGUGCUAACACCGCAUGUUAUCUGAGGAUGAAAGCGGGGGACCGAGCAGCAAUGUUUGGCCUCGCGCCUUUGGAGCGGCCGAUGUCGGAUUAGCUAGUUGGUGGGGUAAAGGCCUACCAAGGCGACGAUCCGUAGCUGGUCUGAGAGGACGACCAGCCACACUGGAACUGAGACACGGCCCAGACUCCUACGGGAGGCAGCAGUGGGGAAUUUUGGACAAUGGGCGCAAGCCUGAUCCAGCCAUGCCGCGUGCGGGAAGAAGGCCUUCGGGUUGUAAACCGCUUUUGGCAGGAACGAAACGGUGUCCGCUAAUACCGGGCGCUAAUGACGGUACCUGCAGAAUAAGCACCGGCUAACUACGUG